GAGCCCUGGAGGCAGCAGUAGGGAAUUUUCGUCAAUGGGCGCAAGCCCGAACGAGCAAUGCCGCGUGAACGAGGAAGGUCUUCGGAUCGUAAAGUUCUGUUGAAGGGGAAAAAGAGCGGAGAGAGGAAAUGGUCUCCGAUUGAUAUUACCCUUCGAGGAAGUCACGGCUAACUACGUGCCGGCAGCCGCGGUAAUACGUAGGUGGCGAGCGUUAUCCGGAAUGAUUGGGCGUAAAGGGUGCGUAGGCGGCCUGCUAAGUCUGGAGUGAAAGGUACCGGCUCAACCGGGACAGGCUCUGGAAACUG
This 305-nucleotide ribosomal RNA is filed under the name uncultured bacterium. RNAcentral describes it as "bacterial SSU rRNA". It matches the Rfam family "Bacterial small subunit ribosomal RNA", at positions 334 to 635 of the family's 1533-position model. The record is from RNAcentral.